This is a long non-coding RNA of Apis dorsata (giant honeybee), 454 nucleotides long. RefSeq lists it as uncharacterized. The transcript is spliced from 2 exons. NCBI's taxonomy places the organism in Eukaryota, Metazoa, Arthropoda, Insecta, Hymenoptera, Apidae. The record is from RefSeq and is a predicted model, not a curated record.
CUGAUAAAUCAUCCUAAAUGUAUGUUGUUUUUAAUAUGUAAGAAAAUAUACGUGAAGUGAACAACAAUUGUGGAUUAGAAGAUUUGUGGAUAAAAGAAUACGCAAACGAUUUUAGAAAUAAAAUCGAGCAACUUGCUUUUCCUACUUGAUUUACCAGUAUCCAGAUUCUCUUAUGUGGUUGGAAUCCCUUGUGGGCGCCGCUCUCGUACCGGAGGAUACGCUUUGUGAACGGCUUAACUUCGGUUUACACGAUGAAGCGGACGUGUUUCGUCGUGAUAACAAAGGGACGACGAUGGCUCGUCGAAAAGUCUUAGGAAGAAUUGGAGGUGAAACGUGUUUCUUAAAAAACGACAGAUUGCCGUCGAAAUUUUUCUAAUUCAUCUCCUAAAUUUUUAUUUCUUGAAGAUAAAUCAAGAUCUCGAAGGAACAAUGGUGCACAGUGUUUUUCAAAAAA